ACAGAUGGUGUACGUGUGUCGGAACCCUAAAGAUGUUGUCUUGUCCUAUUACAAGCUGUUGCAAUGGUUCGACUGGUGUGAUAUGUCAUUAGCAGAAUUCUUUGAGGAUUUUAUUAGUGGAAAAGUUUUGUAUGGUGCUUGGGAAGACCACGUGCUUGGAUUUUGGAAUAACACCGAAGGUGGGAACGUUUUAUUUAUGAAGUAUGAAGAUGUUGUCAAGGAUAUUCCAAAGACCAUAGAAGACAUAGCAAGCUUUCUUGGUAGAACACUGACCGAUGGCGAUGUUAACAUAAUACAUCAGCACUGCGCUAUUGAAAGCAUGCGAAAGAACCAGACGCUUAAUUUGGAGCAUUUGACUGCAAGUAAAAUGAAAGAUGGAUAUGGAGGUUUCAU
Molecule: long non-coding RNA, 393 nt
Organism: Mya arenaria
Lineage: Eukaryota; Metazoa; Mollusca; Bivalvia; Myida; Myidae
Exons: 3
Source: RefSeq, a predicted model, not a curated record